GACGAACGCUGGCGGCGUGCCUAAUACAUGCAAGUAGAACGCUGAAGGAGGAGCUUGCUCUUCUGGAUGAGUUGCGAACGGGUGAGUAACGCGUAGGUAACCUGCCUGGUAGCGGGGGAUAACUAUUGGAAACGAUAGCUAAUACCGCAUAACAGUAGAUGUUGCAUGACAUUUGCUUAAAAGGUGCAAUUGCAUCACUACCAGAUGGACCUGCGUUGUAUUAGCUAGUUGGUGGGGUAACGGCUCACCAAGGCGACGAUACAUAGCCGACCUGAGAGGGUGAUCGGCCACACUGGGACUGAGACCCGGCCCAGACUCCUACGGGAGGCAGCAGGAGGGAAUCUUCGGCAAUGGACGGAAGUCUGACCGAGCAACGCCGCGGGAGGGAAGAAAGUUUUCGGAUCGUAAAGCUCUGUUGUAAGAGAAGAACGAGUGUGAGAGUGGAAAGUUCACACUGUGACGGUAUCUUACCAGAAAGGGACGGCUAACUACGUG
Molecule: ribosomal RNA, 495 nt
Filed under: uncultured bacterium
Lineage: Bacteria
Description: partial 16S ribosomal RNA
Rfam family: Bacterial small subunit ribosomal RNA
Source: RNAcentral